UUAGGUGGUUAUUGCGGCGGGGUUCCACCUCUUCCCAUUCCGAACAGAGAAGUUAAGCCCGUUUGCGCCGAUGGUACUGCAAUGCAAUGCGGGAGAGUAGGUGGCCGCCUUCU
This 113-nucleotide ribosomal RNA is filed under the name Prevotella jejuni. The record is from RNAcentral. Lineage: Bacteria; Pseudomonadati; Bacteroidota; Bacteroidia; Bacteroidales; Prevotellaceae.